CGGCAGGCCUAUCAUGCAAGUCGCUACGGCUCUUCGGAGCAGUGGCGGACGGGUGAGUAACGCGUGGGAACGUGCCCAAAGGUACGGAACAACUGAGGGAAACUUCAGCUAAUACCGUAUGUGCCCUUAGGGGGAAAGAUUUAUCGCCUUUGGAGCGGCCCGCGUUGGAUUAGCUAGUUGGUGGGGUAAAGGCCCACCAAGGCUACGAUCCAUAGCUGGUCUGAGAGGAUGAUCAGCCACACUGGGACUGAGACACGGCCCAGACUCCUACGGGAGGCAGCAGUAGGGAAUCUUGCGCAAUGGGCGAAAGCCUGACGCAGCCAUGCCGCGUGAAUGAUGAAGGUCUUAGGAUUGUAAAAUUCUUUCACCGGGGAAGAUAAUGACGGUACCCGGAGAAGAAGCCCCGGCUAACUUCGUGCCAGCAGCCGCGGUAAU
Molecule: ribosomal RNA, 435 nt
Filed under: uncultured bacterium
Lineage: Bacteria
Description: bacterial SSU rRNA
Rfam family: Bacterial small subunit ribosomal RNA
Source: RNAcentral